RNAcentral lists this long non-coding RNA (332 nucleotides) under Linum usitatissimum (flax). RNAcentral's name for it is "long non-coding RNA (LUSI_LNC004684)". The record is from RNAcentral. Lineage: Eukaryota; Viridiplantae; Streptophyta; Magnoliopsida; Malpighiales; Linaceae.
ACAACCAAGUUAAGAGGUGGGAAGCAAUAAGCAUGUUAAAAUACGUACUUGCGUCAGUGAAUCUUCCAGUGGAUAUAAAAAGGCAUACAAUCGAUUUCUUACUUUCUAUUACUGAUGGAAGUAUCACACUAAAUUGCCAUGAUGGAAUAACAGACUACAUAACUUACAUUCCUGGAUUGUUUGCCAUGAUGGAAUAACAGACUACAUAACUUACAUUCCUGGAUUGUUUGCCACAUCACAGGUACAUUCUGGCUUCCUGAAUUUGUAUAUUAUAAUGUAUCUUCUUUUAACCUUCAGAACCAUAUUUUAGGCAAUUACCAAGGUCAUCAUGU